CCCGGGCCUUGUACACACCGCCCGUCACACCAUGGGAGUUGGUUUUACCUUAAGGCGGUGGGCUAACCUCGCAAGAGGGGGCAGCCGACCACGGUAAGGUCAGCGACUGGGGUG
This 114-nucleotide ribosomal RNA is filed under the name uncultured bacterium. RNAcentral describes it as "partial 16S ribosomal RNA". It matches the Rfam family "Bacterial small subunit ribosomal RNA", at positions 1373 to 1482 of the family's 1533-position model. The record is from RNAcentral.